AUGCAAAAAGAUCUGCAGGUAGAUGUUUCAAGUCUAUUUCUUUUCUCCACAGAAUUCAAAUUCACCAAGAAGAUCCAAAUCCUUAAAACACAAAAAUGGAGUGAGGAUGACCGACUGACGACGAUCCGUGCUCGUCCUUCAGCUUUGCUGGGCUCCAAGCGGCGCGGCGAGAACCAGGAGAGUUCGUUUGUGUUGCUAAGAGAUGAGUCGUUUCCACAGUAACACUGCUGUCGAUGGGAGGCCCCUCCAGUCACUACCCACAAUGCCGUUUGGCUCACCUUGAGAAGCAGAUGCAUGACCCUUGAACUGACCGGCAGAAGCGACAUCAAUUAGCUUCAUCAUUCAGUUUACACGAGUGUUGUUUGUUUUAAUUUUUUUAUAUAAAUUCGUCUGGAAUAUUUUGCACAAUGAAUCGAUGUUGUGUUGAUCGUCUCGUCUUGACACCGUAGCUUGAUAGUUCUUCAGCCUGACCGUGUGGAACGUGCACAAUAAGGGAAGCUCUCAGGAAGGACGUGGGCAGGGCCAUUGGUUACAGUGGCAGGUGGGAGUGGCUGAUCGCGGAGUGAUGGAUGCCUCCCUUCACAAAGACUGAUUCUUUUUUUUUUCUUCUUCUUCUUUCUCAUUCUGAGGAUGUUUGUAAGAGAAGGAACCAUAAAGUCAGGACUGAUAAAUCAUCAAUCACUAUGCUGCUUUUCACCUGUUCUCAAGGCUUAAGAACUGCAACGCCUUGACGAAUAAUUAUGAUCUUCACACUUUUACAGGAAAAAAAAAAAUUAAAUGAAUCUUUGGGACUGUAUAUGGACACUUGAACUUGCCACUGACAGAAAGGCAUACCUAUUCCUUUGAGGGGAACGAAUCAAGGCUUGAGCUCCUCCUUUUAUCGUUUUGCAUUUUCGGUCUUGUUUCUGUGUACUAGAUGUUUACAGUGUAAGGAAUCGUGUGUCUUCACUGUGUUGUAACUGUACAUAUUUGACUAGGUGAAAAAUGCUGCUAUCCUGGCCAUGAGCUGUAUGCUUGUGGACAUGUCCCGUGUAAUAAACGAUCAGAACCAUGAACGUGUGUAGUCCCUGA
Long non-coding RNA from Pygocentrus nattereri (red-bellied piranha), 1071 nucleotides. The record is from Ensembl. Lineage: Eukaryota; Metazoa; Chordata; Actinopteri; Characiformes; Serrasalmidae.